This 499-nucleotide ribosomal RNA is filed under the name uncultured Glomeromycotina. RNAcentral describes it as "partial small subunit ribosomal RNA". It matches the Rfam family "Eukaryotic small subunit ribosomal RNA", at positions 591 to 1092 of the family's 1831-position model. The record is from RNAcentral. Lineage: Eukaryota; Fungi; Glomeromycota.
CCAAUAGCGUAUAUUAAAGUUGUUGCAGUUAAAAAGCUCGUAGUUGAAUUUCGAGACCGGUUUACUGGUCGUGCUUUUGUACGUACUGGUAUUAUUGGUUUCUCCUUUCUGACGAACUAUAAUGCCAUUAAUUUGGUGUUAUAGGGAAUCAGGACUGUUACUUUGAAAAAAUUAGAGUGUUUAAAGCAGGCUCACGCUUGAAUACAUUAGCAUGGAAUAAAGGAAUAGGACGUUUGAUUCUAUUUUGUUGGUUUCUAGGAUCGACGUAAUGAUUAAUAGGGAUAGUUGGGGGCAUUAGUAUUCAAUUGUCAGAGGUGAAAUUCUUGGAUUUAUUGAAGACUAACUACUGCGAAAGCAUUUGCCAAGGAUGUUUUCAUUAAUCAAGAACGAAAGUUAGGGGAUCGAAGACGAUCAGAUACCGUCGUAGUCUUAACCAUAAGCUAUGCCGACUAGGGAUCGGAUGAUGUUAAUUUUUUAAUGACUCAUUCGGCGCCUUACG